This 466-nucleotide ribosomal RNA is filed under the name uncultured bacterium. RNAcentral's name for it is "partial 16S ribosomal RNA". It matches the Rfam family "Bacterial small subunit ribosomal RNA", at positions 28 to 507 of the family's 1533-position model. The record is from RNAcentral.
GAUGAACGCUGGCGGCGUGCUUAACACAUGCCAGUCGAACGGAAAGGCCCAAGCUUGCUUGGGUACUCGAGUGGCGAACGGGUGAGUAACACGUGGGUGAUCUGCCCUGCACUUCGGGAUAAGCCUGGGAAACUGGGUCUAAUACCGGAUAGGACCACAUUUUGGAUGGUGUGGUGGAAAGUUUUUCGGUGUGGGAUGAGCUCGCGGCCUAUCAGCUUGUUGGUGGGGUAAUGGCCUACCAAGGCGUCGACGGGUAGCCGGCCUGAGAGGGUGUAUGGCCACAUUGGGACUGAGAUACGGCCCAGACUCCUACGGGAGGCAGCAGUGGGGAAUAUUGCACAAUGGGCGCAAGCCUGAUGCAGCGACGCCGCGUGGGGGAUGACGGCCUUCGGGUUGGAAACUCCUUUCGCUAGGGACGAAGCGUUAUGUGACGGUACCUGGAGAAGAAGCACCGGCUAACUACGUG